CACACCUCACGUUUUCUGUUGUGUCGCCCUUGCCUGGUGGAGUCGUUUGGUUUGGGUUUUCUAUUCCAGUCCUUUCUCUGUUUAAACCCAGUUCGGGUGUAGCGAGAUAUGUCAUAGCGGGAGCUCUUUCAUAUCAGUCGGAUUGACCCAGUUGAGGGGAAGUGCCUAGCGGCUUCUGUC
Long non-coding RNA from Sinocyclocheilus grahami, 180 nucleotides. RefSeq lists it as uncharacterized. The transcript has 3 exons. Lineage: Eukaryota; Metazoa; Chordata; Actinopteri; Cypriniformes; Cyprinidae. The record is from RefSeq and is a predicted model, not a curated record.